Molecule: unclassified non-coding RNA, 346 nt
Filed under: soil metagenome
Description: partial contains 5.8S ribosomal RNA, internal transcribed spacer 2, and large subunit ribosomal RNA
Rfam family: 5.8S ribosomal RNA (bases 1-120)
Source: RNAcentral
GAUGAAGAACGUAGCGAACUGCGAUAAGUAAUGUGAAUUGCAGAAUUCAGUGAAUCAUCGAGUCUUUGAACGCACAUUGCGCCCCCUGGUAUUCCGGGGGGCAUGCCUGUCCGAGCGUCAUUGCUGCCCUCAAGCCCGGCUUGUGUGUUGGGUCUCGUCCCCCUUCCCGGGGGGACGGGCCCGAAAGGCAGCGGCGGCACCGCGUCCGGUCCUCGAGCGUAUGGGGCUUUGUCACCCGCUCUGUAGGCCCGGCCGGCGCUUGCCGAUCAACCAAAACUUUUUUCCAGGUUGACCUCGGAUCAGGUAGGGAUACCCGCUGAACUUAAGCAUAUCAAUAAGCGGAGGA